GUCUUGGUGGUGUAGUGGUAGCACAUGCACUUGGUAAGGGCGAAAGGCAGGUUCAACUCUUGCCUGAGAUCA
Molecule: non-coding RNA, 72 nt
Organism: Parelaphostrongylus tenuis
Lineage: Eukaryota; Metazoa; Nematoda; Chromadorea; Rhabditida; Metastrongylidae
Source: the annotation of a GenBank genome assembly